RNAcentral lists this long non-coding RNA (226 nucleotides) under Hordeum vulgare. RNAcentral describes it as "long non-coding RNA (HVUL_LNC000552)". Lineage: Eukaryota; Viridiplantae; Streptophyta; Magnoliopsida; Poales; Poaceae. The record is from RNAcentral.
CGGUCGUACGUAUAUAUGCCCUCGUGCGUGCGCGUGACUGGAAUUUCAGUUCGCUGCUGGGUAGAUACAAUCAUACAAAGAUCGAUCUCGUGAUGACACUUACGAGAGAGGAGGCGCACGAGAGCAAGGAGAUGGAGAGCCUCCGGGUGCACGCCGACGCGCUCCUCUCGCUCUCCUCACCCGCCGCGUCGUCCACGGCGACGACCGCGGCGGGCAGCAAGCCGGN